RNAcentral lists this microRNA precursor (141 nucleotides) under Gossypium hirsutum (cotton). RNAcentral describes it as "MIR7502 microRNA precursor family". It matches the Rfam family "MIR7502 microRNA precursor family". Lineage: Eukaryota; Viridiplantae; Streptophyta; Magnoliopsida; Malvales; Malvaceae. The record is from Rfam by way of RNAcentral.
UAUUAAAAAUUCAUUCAUUUCACUGUUAAAAAUUGUCUUGAUCGACAAAAUAACCAAACAAUUACACGUGAUGUAUCAUGUGCACUUUAUGCGGACAUAUAGGGACCGAUUUUAGCUGUAAAAUGAAUAAAAUUUUUAAUA